This 464-nucleotide ribosomal RNA is filed under the name uncultured bacterium. RNAcentral describes it as "partial 16S ribosomal RNA". It matches the Rfam family "Bacterial small subunit ribosomal RNA", at positions 339 to 795 of the family's 1533-position model. The record is from RNAcentral.
CUACGGGACGCUCCAGUAGGGAAUUUUCGGCAAUGGGCGAAAGCCUGACCGAGCAAUGCCGCGUGAACGAUGAAGGUCUUCGGAUCGUAAAGUUCUGUUGUAGAGGAAGAACACUAUUUGUAGGAAAUGACAAGUAGCUGACGGUACUCUACCAGAAAGCUCCGGCUAACUACGUGCCAGCAGCCGCGGUAAUACGUAGGGAGCGAGCGUUAUCCGGAAUUAUUGGGCGUAAAGAGCGCGUAGGCGGAUUUGUCAGUCAGAUGUGAAAUUCCAGGGCUUAACCUUGGGCGUGCAUUUGAGACAGCAAGUCUUGAGUACGGUAGAGGGAAGUGGAAUUCCUGGUGUAGAGGUGAAAUUCGUAGAUAUCAGGAGGAACACCGAAGGCGAAGGCAGCUUCCUGGUCCGAUACUGACGCUGAAGUGCGAAGGCGUGGGUAGCAAACAGGAUUAGAUACCCCAGUAGUC